GACGAACGCUGGCGGCGUGCCUAAUACAUGCAAGUCGAGCGAGCGGAACUAACAGAUUUACUUCGGUAAUGACGUUAGGAAAGCGAGCGGCGGAUGGGUGAGUAACACGUGGGGAACCUGCCCCAUAGUCUGGGAUACCACUUGGAAACAGGUGCUGAUACCGGAUAAGAAAGCAGAUCGCAUGAUCAGCUUUUAAAAGGCGGCGUAAGCUGUCGCUAUGGGAUGGCCCCGCGGUGCAUUAGCUAGUUGGUAAGGUAAAGGCUUACCAAGGCGAUGAUGCAUAGCCGAGUUGAGAGACUGAUCGGCCACAUUGGGACUGAGACACGGCCCAAACUCCUACGGGAGGCAGCAGUAGGGAAUCUUCCACAAUGGACGCAAGUCUGAUGGAGCAACGCCGCGUGAGUGAAGAAGGUUUUCGGAUCGUAAAGCUCUGUUGUUGGUGAAGAAGGAUAGAGGUAGUAACUGGCCUUUAUUUGACGGUAAUCAACCAGAAAGUCACGGCUAACUACGUGCCAGCAGCCGCGGUAAUACGUAGGUGGCAAGCGUUGUCCGGAUUUAUUGGGCGUAAAGCGAGCGCAGGCGGAAGAAUAAGUCUGAUGUGAAAGCCCUCGGCUUAACCGAGGAACUGCAUCGGAAACUGUUUUUCUUGAGUGCAGAAGAGGAGAGUGGAACUCCAUGUGUAGCGGUGGAAUGCGUAGAUAUAUGGAAGAACACCAGUGGCGAAGGCGGCUCUCUGGUCUGCAACUGACGCUGAGGCUCGAAAGCAUGGGUAGCGAACAGGAUUAGAUACCCUGGUAGUCCAUGCCGUAAACGAUGAGUGCUAAGUGUUGGGAGGUUUCCGCCUCUCAGUGCUGCAGCUAACGCAUUAAGCACUCCGCCUGGGGAGUACGACCGCAAGGUUGAAACUCAAAGGAAUUGACGGGGGCCCGCACAAGCGGUGGAGCAUGUGGUUUAAUUCGAAGCAACGCGAAGAACCUUACCAGGUCUUGACAUCUAGUGUCAUUUGUAGAGAUACAAAGUUCCCUUCGGGGACGCUAAGACAGGUGGUGCAUGGCUGUCGUCAGCUCGUGUCGUGAGAUGUUGGGUUAAGUCCCGCAACGAGCGCAACCCUUGUUAUUAGUUGCCAGCAUUAAGUUGGGCACUCUAAUGAGACUGCCGGUGACAAACCGGAGGAAGGUGGGGAUGACGUCAAGUCAUCAUGCCCCUUAUGACCUGGGCUACACACGUGCUACAAUGGGCAGUACAACGAGAAGCGAGCCUGCGAAGGCAAGCGAAUCUCUGAAAGCUGUUCUCAGUUCGGACUGCAGUCUGCAACUCGACUGCACGAAGCUGGAAUCGCUAGUAAUCGCGGAUCAGCACGCCGCGGUGAAUACGUUCCCGGGCCUUGUACACACCGCCCGUCACACCAUGGGAGUCUGCAAUGCCCAAAGCCGGUGGCCUAACCUUCGGGAAGGAGCCGUCUAAGGCAGGGCAGAUGACUGGGGUGAAA
RNAcentral lists this ribosomal RNA (1489 nucleotides) under uncultured organism. Its description in RNAcentral is "SSU rRNA". It matches the Rfam family "Bacterial small subunit ribosomal RNA". The record is from RNAcentral.